Molecule: ribosomal RNA, 422 nt
Filed under: uncultured bacterium
Lineage: Bacteria
Description: bacterial SSU rRNA
Rfam family: Bacterial small subunit ribosomal RNA
Source: RNAcentral
UAAGGAAUAUUGGUCAAUGGACGAAAGUCUGAACCAGCCAUGCCGCGUGGAGGAUGAAGGCCCUCUGGGUUGUAAACUUCUUUUAUAGGGUACGAAAAAGGGCCUUUCUAGAUCAACUGACGGUACCCUAGGAAUAAGCACCGUCUAACUCCGUGCCAGCAGCCGCGGUAAUACGGAGGGUGCAAGCGUUAUCCGGAUUCACUGGGUUUAAAGGGUGCGUAGGUGGGUUAGUAAGUCAGUGGUGAAAUCUUCGAGCUAAACUCGGAAACUGCCAUUGAUACUAUUAGUCUGGAAUAUUGUGGAGGUAAGAGGAAUAUGUCAUGUAGCGGUGAAAUGCUUAGAUAUGGCAUAGAACACCGAUUGCGAGGGCAGCUGGCUACACAUAUAUUGACACUGAGGAACGAAGGCGUGGGGAUCAAAAA